GUAAAGAUUAAAUGAGAUUAUGUAUGUAAAACACAUAAAGAAUAUGAAACUCACUCACCCUUAGCUCAGAAAGGGGGUAUUUUUAUACUGCAUGGCAUACUUAAUUGGUAUUUUUCCUGCACUCUCUCUUUUUUCUUCUUCUUCUCCCCAAAGCCCCCGAGUGUGUAGCUGUAUAUUCUAGUUGUAGGAUCCUGCAUUCUUUCCCUGUGCUUUCUCUGUUGCAUAUAUUUCUCCGAAAAGCAUCACUGUGAAGGGUGAGGCAGAAGACGUGGUCAUGGAGAGAGUAUCCACAUGUACCUGGCAUUGUGGGAGCUUAAUUCAUUUCACCAAGUAUAUCUCACCUCAUCUUCAUAAUAUGUCUGUGAGGCAUGGAGUUACUGCCAUUUUGCAGGUAAGGAAACUGAGGCUAAGAGAGUAGCAGAUGUUUUGCUACGUUGACAAGAUAGCGGGCCAUAGUGCCCUGAGCCGUAAGCCAACACUUUGUUCUGUCUGUCACCGGGCUCCGUUUUUCCUCUCUUGAGGGUCUGCUGUUUUCCAUCCUUCAGCUCAGAUUGUCUCCUGCAGGCCUGACGUCAUGUGUUUUGGUGGAGCAGUAGAUGUACGUGGAACUGAUUUCGGAAGACAGCCGCCAAGCUCCCAGUUCCCCUGUUAGCCUGUUACGCAAACUUUGCAGUCAGCAUUUUCUGUUCCAAAUCGAAUCACUAAUCACUAUCAUCUAUAUAAUGUGAUUGUCAUUAAAAUCCCUUCUCGGGUAUGAUUUUCUCACAUUUCCGAGUUUCUCUCUGAUUCGGAGUUAUUCCAAGUGAUAUUUAUGAGAACUAUCACUGUAAGUAACAGUUUUUGAAAAUUAAGAUGUGAGGGAAAUUAGCCAUCUUUAAACAAUUAAUUGUGAAUCAAUGGGAUUCAUUUUAGUUUUCAACUUAUGAACAGUAGUCUUUUAUUAUUGAAAAUGUCUCCCUUCACUCUAUAGGAAUCAAUUGGAUAUUUUCGUAAAUAUUUAAACUCAUACUUUUUAAAAAUGAAAAAUAGCAUAAUUUUUAAGACAGAUGCCAAAGCUUUGCCUUGACACCAGCUGCUUGUGACGCUUGUUAAUCUAAAAAUUAAAGAAGCAGUUGAGUUUAAUUUUGAUCAAUUACCAGGUAGUAGGCACCUUGAGUAACGUCACAUGCCGUCAUGUGCUCUAAGGUGGGGUUGUUCUAAGUUCUUGGAAUGUAAGUUAUUGGGCAAGACGGCCACGUGCCGGGGUUUGGAAGGAGUUACUCUCCCUCGCGCGUGACUCUGUGUGUGGGAUGUUUAGGCUGGUCGGAAAGCCCACUUGUUUUGGUAGUUUUGGGGGUAAGGACUGAUUCUGGUGACAUACCCUUCUCUUCCCUUAUAGUCAGGACGAAUGGUCUGUGACAACAUACAGUCUAAUGAAUGAGACAAGCCUAGUGCUUUGAUUGUGGUACCAUAAAAAUGAUUGAUGACAGCAGUUCAUUCUUUUACUCAGCAAAGGUUUUAUUUUAAAAGAAUUGUACUUUUUAGGAUUAAACAUGUGGUUUUGGGUGGCCUUCAGACCACAAAUUUAUUUUCAUUUUUGAUAUGUUUCAAAAAUUGUAGACACUCAUCAAAAGAAAUCAGUAGAUAUUUAUAGUCAUGAAAAGCUUAACACAAUAUAUUAUUUAUUGCGGAAACCCCCAGAUAUAAUAUAUGUGUGUAAACAGUUCAUGUACAUAAAUGUAAAAGAUAUGUAAGAAAGUUUAGAAGAAUUAAAAGUUUAUAUUUACUUUAAACGUUUCUUAAUUCCCACAGCAACCCUCAGGCAUCAUAAAAAGUCAGAAAAGAUUUCUAACUGGCAUCAUUAUAAAAUAAGUUCUGGUAGACUGUUUGUAUUUGAGGAUAGAGUUAAAAAAAAAAACCCAAAUACACAACUUACGUGCUAAGUCAGUAUGUAGCGCUAAACAUCAGAAUGAUGAAAAACCUGACUUCAUUAGGGUAUUCUAGUGUUUCUAGAUAUUUCGUAUUAUUUGGGUAAUGGGGUUUGCCCUUUAUUGGGAACUCCCAUCCCUCUAGCUGACUUUUUUAAAGACACCCAGAGUGGCUUAGAAAUGUGAUGUACCACAUGGUGACUACAGUUAACAAUGCUGUAUUGUAUAUUUGAAAAUUGCUAAAAGAGUAGAUCUUAAAGUUCUCAUCACAAGAAAAAAAAUUUUUUAACUGUGUAUAGUGACAGAUGUUAACUAGGCUUGUUGUGCUGAUCAUUUUGCAGCGUAUACAGAUAUCGAAUCAUUAUGUUGUACACCUGGAACUAAUAUAAUGUCAUAUGUCACUUGUACCUCAACAAUGGAAAAAAAGUUCAAAAAAAGGAAAGAAGUGUACUUUUCAGGACCUAUAACAUUGUAACCAUUUCUUCACAUGUGAAGUCUGGAGAAGAAAGAUAAAGUGGUUGGCUUGGGGAGCCUUCUGUAAUGCUGUAAUUUAGAACAAAGUCACGGGUUUUUAGAAGGCAGUGACUUUUUAAAAGAGAAAAGCACAUUGUAUCUUGGUACGAUUAUUUGUGAUGUAACUCGGAUUGUAAUUUUAUCUGGAAAAUAAAUGUUUGAUAGUAAAUGAUGGGAUAUCAAGAACCAGUUUUUGCAUUUUUAGUUUGUUUACACAGAAAGUACCAUUUGAUUGUUGUCUUUUUUGAGGAAGAUUAGCCCUGAGCUAACAUCUGCUGCCAAUCUUCCUCUUUUUGCUGAGGAAGACUGGCCCUGAGCUAACAUCCGUGCCCAUCUUCCUCUAUCUUAUAUGUGGGACAUCUACCACAGCAUGGCUUGACAAGCUGCACAUAGAUCCACACCUGGGAUCCAAACUGGCAAAGCCUGGGCUGCUGAAGUGGAAUGUGCAAACUUAACUGCUGCACCACCAGGCUGGCCCUGACCAUUUUAUUAUUUUUUUUCCUGAGGAAGAUUGGCCCUGGGCUAACAUCUGUGCCAAUCUUCCUCUCUUUUGUAUGUGAGCUGUCCCCACAGCGUGGCCACCGACGAGUGGUAUAGGUCCGUGCCCAGGAACCGAACCUGGGCCACUGAAGCAGAGCACACUGAGUUUAACCACUAGGCUAUGGGGCCAGCCCCUGAUCAACUUGUUAAUUUGUGUAAUAUUGUGUUUUUUUUGAGGAAUCUGUUGACUUUUCUGUUUUGUUUAUAUGCUCGUUUUGGCCGUUUAAAAAUAUCUGCCUAUCUAUAUACAUAUAAAAUAUCAUAUAUAAUCUAUAGUGAUUAAUUAUGACAUGUCAUGCUUUUGACCAUCCUCUGUUUUUGACAUAACCAGCACAGACGUUUUAUUGGCUAGAUAUCUUUUAAAAAGUAUGUUUCCUCUCAACAUACGAGUAGAAAAGGAGGUAGAAUGGUGCAGAGGAAUGCUAGAAAAGAGUAAUCUUUUGUGUCUUAAGAUUGAAAGCACAUUUCUUUCCUGUGAUUUUGUUGUAACCGUCAUCCUCGUGGCCCAGACUGAACAGAAUAAUCUCAUGGCUGCUGUGUCACAGAAUGUCCCUCAUCUCUGGGUGUCCUCAAAGCCGUUCGCACAUGGGACCGACCACAUGCGUGCCACUUGGUGUCUUGUGUGCUCUGAGCUUGCAAGCAGGGAGAGGGUCUCACUCACCCUGGGGCCCUGCGCCUGGCCCUGGACCUGGGCCGUAAUGAGCUUUGGGCCUCUCCUUCACUUCACUCACUGCGAGUUCUGUGCUGAGCCAAACUGCCUGCCCCAUGCAUGGCCCAUCCGAGGGGCUACCUAGGACGAGGGCUGCCGUCUGUGGCCAGGGCAAAGGGAUUGUUCUCUGGGUGAAAGAAUUAUUAGAGAUAAAAACCAGUGACUCAGCGUCUUGAGCGUGAAUAACUGGUGGCAUUUACCACCCUAGAGGGACAUGGUGGAUCCAUGCUAAGUGGUCCGUUUGGAAAUGAAGUUGUGGCGUUUCUUUGUUUCUUUUACUGGAAACGUGACUGGCAGAUGCGUGGAGAAUACGGCUUUGUGUAUCCUGUGAGACUUACGUCCACCAGUCAAGUUCUCUGCCGUUAACCCAGUGUCGAGUGCGUGCCAGGCAUUAAAGACUAUUCCAACUGGCCCACCAUCCCGCAGGUGUACCUCAACGGCGAGUUCGUGGGGGGCUGUGACAUCCUUCUGCAGAUGCACCAGAACGGGGACCUGGUGGAAGAACUGAGAAAGCUGGGCAUCCGCUCCGCCCUUUUAGAUGAGAAGAAAGACCAAGACUCCAAGUGAGGGCGGCGCGGGUCGCCCUGAGCUCGACGCUCGGGAGCCCUGGGCUCAGAGACUCACUGCCAGAGAAGCCUUAGCGAUUUGGGUUUCACUGUCCCGACGGCUGCCUGCGCCGAUGCCUGCGGCGUGAGCGGUCGGCGAUCUCAGUGUGUCUGCUGUCGGGCUGAGAAUAUUCCAUUGUGAACUGAAUUAUAAGCACUGCGCUGUAGUAACUCAAUGUUGUAUCAUGAUCUUGCUAUAAACAAAAUUUGUUCUUAUAGUGUCCUUUGCUCUUUGCCUGAUUCAGGAGUAAAACUAGGAGCUUUUGAAUCAUCAUUAUUCACGAGUCCUCUGCGAAUGUGUCGGUCUGCAAAGAUGAUAUAUCCACCCAAGUUUUUUAUAACUUGUUCUGUUAAGAAAAAUGAUGGACAAAGAAGAAAAUGUGAUAACUGGGUAUUGUUUUUUAAAAUAAACUGCCAACCCAGGGA
RNAcentral lists this long non-coding RNA (4700 nucleotides) under Equus caballus (horse). Its description in RNAcentral is "lncRNA (ENSECAG00000056195.1)". Lineage: Eukaryota; Metazoa; Chordata; Mammalia; Perissodactyla; Equidae. The record is from RNAcentral.